This 569-nucleotide ribosomal RNA is filed under the name Lysurus sphaerocephalum. Its description in RNAcentral is "eukaryotic LSU rRNA". It matches the Rfam family "Eukaryotic large subunit ribosomal RNA", at positions 73 to 633 of the family's 3401-position model. The record is from RNAcentral. Lineage: Eukaryota; Fungi; Basidiomycota; Agaricomycetes; Phallales; Phallaceae.
GAUUCCCCUAGUAACGGCGAGUGAAGCGGGAUGAGCUCAAAUUUGUAAUCUGGCGGUCCAAGGCCGUCCGAGUUGUAAUCUGGAGAAGCGUUUUCAGUACCGGCCCGCGUACAAGUCCCCUGGAACGGGGCGUCGCAGAGGGUGAGAAUCCCGUCUUUGACGCGGUCUGCCCGGUGCCAUGCGAUGCGCUCUCGAAGAGUCGAGUUGUUUGGGAAUGCAGCUCAAAAAGGGUGGUAAAUUCCAUCUAAAGCUAAAUACUGGCGAAAGACCGAUAGCGAACAAGUACCGUGAGGGAAAGAUGAAAAGCACUUUGGAAAGAGAGUCAAACAGUACGUGAAAUUGUUGAAAGGGAAACGCUUGAAGUCAGUCGCGUCUCCCGGGAUUCAGCAGGUUCCUUCGCGGUGCAUUUCCCGGGGUUUUGACGGGCCAGCGUCGAUUUCGACCGUCGUAAAAAGGCGAAGAGGAACGUGGCACCUUUCGGGGUGUGUUAUAGCCUCGCGUCGUAUGCGAACGGUUUAGGGAUCGAGGAACGCAGCGCGCCUUUUUCAUUAAGGGCCGGGUUCGCCCAC